AAACCAACAGGGAUUGCCCUAGUAACGGCGAGUGAAGCGGCAACAGCUCAAAUUUGAAAUCUGGCUUCGGCCCGAGUUGUAAUUUGUAGAGGAAACUUUUGGUGAGGCACCUUCUGAGUCCCUUGGAACAGGGCGCCAUAGAGGGUGAGAGCCCCGUAUAGUCGGAUGCCGAUCCAAUGUAAAGUUCCUUCGACGAGUCGAGUAGUUUGGGAAUGCUGCUCAAAAUGGGAGGUAAAUUUCUUCUAAAGCUAAAUAUAGGCCAGAGACCGAUAGCGCACAAGUAGAGUGAUCGAAAGAUGAAAAGCACUUUGAAAAGAGGGUUAAAUAGCACGUGAAAUUGUUGAAAGGGAAGCGUUUGUGACCAGACUUGCGCCGUUCCGAUCAUCCGGUGUUCUCACCGGUGCACUCGGGGCGGCUCAGGCCAGCAUCGGUUUUGGUGGGGGGAUAAAGGUCCAGGGAACGUAGCUCCUCCGGGAGUGUUAUAGCCCUGGGCGUAAUGCCCUCGCUGGGACCGAGGUUCGCGCAUCUGCAAGGAUGCUGGCGUAAUGGUCAUCAACGACCCGUCUUGAAACACGGACCAAGGAGUCAAGGUUUUGCGCGAGUGUUUGGGUGUAAAACCCGCACGCGUAAUGAAAGUGAACGUAGGUGAGAGCUUCGGCGCAUCAUCGACCGAUCCUGAUGUAUUCGGAUGGAUUUGAGUAAGAGCGUUAAGCCUUGGACCCGAAAGAUGGUGAACUAUGCUUGGAUAGGGUGAAGCCAGAGGAAACUCUG
Molecule: ribosomal RNA, 771 nt
Filed under: Asordaria arctica
Lineage: Eukaryota; Fungi; Ascomycota; Sordariomycetes; Sordariales; Sordariaceae
Description: partial large subunit ribosomal RNA
Rfam family: Eukaryotic large subunit ribosomal RNA
Source: RNAcentral